This is a long non-coding RNA of Chenopodium quinoa (quinoa), 990 nucleotides long. RefSeq lists it as uncharacterized. The record is from RefSeq and is a predicted model, not a curated record. NCBI's taxonomy places the organism in Eukaryota, Viridiplantae, Streptophyta, Magnoliopsida, Caryophyllales, Amaranthaceae. The transcript is spliced from 3 exons.
UUUUAUUUUUUUUUUUUUUUGAAGAAAAUGAGGUAAAUGGUAAUUCCCACUUAUGCAGUUAUGCGUAUGCUUCAUCUUUCUCGUCUCAAAAUCACUGUAUUAUAUCUCUCGUAAAAAGAAAAAAAGAAAAAACCCCUCCUGUACUUCAUCUCUCUCAUCUCAAAGUUUUUCAAGUACUCAAUGACUCCAUCUUCCUCAUCACCUCCACGACUUCCUCACCUCCAUGCCUGAUUGCCUUCCUCCAUUUCACGGCCUUUGACACAUCAUCAAGUCCUGGAUUCAAUUUUUGCGAUUAAUAAGGUAGAAUGCGAAUGAAAUUUCCUCAAGAUCGAAAAUAUGCAGCCUUAAUUCAAGGAAAAUCGAAAAUUCCAGACUAAAUUUCGAACCAAUUUCAAGGGUUUCAUGCCAUAAUUCAAGCAAAAACAAAUUCGAAUCAAAUUCAAGGGACUGUAGCAGCCACUGUGACUCCUCAACCCCUUGCUCUGAAAAGGAACUCUCUCUUCCAAAGAGGCUUGCAGCCACAUAACUAUAGUCUUCCAGUGCUCCAAAAAGGGUUAUCCAUAGCACUUGUUUCAGCAGCAACUAGUGGGAGUAAAAAUAUUAUCUUGGACUGAUAAUGGUCCUCAUGAGAGGUGGAAGAAAGAAUGUUCUUGUGGAUGUGCUUGAAUCUUUAAUGCUCCUGUUGCUCUAUCACUAUUUGCCAAAAUAUUUGAAGAGGUAUGCAUUCAUAACAGAAGUAGAAGUGGCUUAGGAUGGUCAGAGAAAGCAAGAUGUUUUAGAUGCUCGAGGGUUUGCCACUGUUGCUGUAUUUGGGCGCUGUUGCUGCUGCUACAACUACUGUUGGAACAUUGUUAUUGCUUCUGCUUCUGUCUUGUUGAUUAUUACUGCUUCAAUUAUAGUGUACUCUUAAGCAUAUUUUUUUUCAUUUUUUUGGAUGAACAGUGUAUAUUUACAAGCUAUUAAUGAAAAUAUCUAAGUUUUAUGUGUAUA